UACAGAGGGGGCAAGCGUUGUUCGGAAUUACUGGGCGUAAAGGGCGCGUAGGCGGCCAACUAAGUCGGACGUGAAAUCCCAAGGCUCAACCUUGGAACUGCGUCCGAUACUGGAUGGCUUGAAUCCGGGAGAGGGAUGUGGAAUUCCAGGUGUAGCGGCGAAAUGCGUAGAUAUCUGGAGGAACACCGGUGGCGAAGGCGGCAUCCUGGACCGGUAUUGACGCUGAGGCGCGAAAGCCAGGGGAGCAAACGGG
Molecule: ribosomal RNA, 253 nt
Filed under: uncultured bacterium
Lineage: Bacteria
Description: partial 16S ribosomal RNA
Rfam family: Bacterial small subunit ribosomal RNA
Source: RNAcentral